GACGAACGCUGGCGGCGUGCUUAACACAUGCAAGUCGAACGCUGAAGACCUGGCUUUUGUUGGGCUGGAUGAGUGGCGAACGGGUGAGUAACACGUGAGUAACCUGCCCUCUUCUUUGGGAUAACGCCCGGAAACGGGUGCUAAUACUGGAUAUUCACUGAUCUUAGAAUGGGGGUUGGUGGAAAGGGUUGUUCUGGUGGGGGAUGGGCUCGCGGCCUAUCAGUUGGUUGGUGGGGUGAUGGCCUACCAAGGCUUUGACGGGUAGUCGGCCUGCUGGGGGGACCGGUCACAUUGGGACUGCGCUACGGCCCAGACUCCUACGGGAGGCAGCAGUGGGGGAUAUUGCACAAUGUGCGAAAGCCUGAUGCAGCGACGCCGCGGGAGGGAUGGAGGCCUUCGGGUUGUAAACCUCUUUCGCUCAUGGUCAAGCCGCAACUGUGGGUUGUGGUGAGGGUAGUUGGUAAAGAAGCGCCGGCUAACUACGUG
Molecule: ribosomal RNA, 486 nt
Filed under: uncultured bacterium
Lineage: Bacteria
Description: partial 16S ribosomal RNA
Rfam family: Bacterial small subunit ribosomal RNA
Source: RNAcentral